Long non-coding RNA from Panicum virgatum (switchgrass), 739 nucleotides. RefSeq lists it as uncharacterized. The record is from RefSeq and is a predicted model, not a curated record. The transcript has 2 exons. Lineage: Eukaryota; Viridiplantae; Streptophyta; Magnoliopsida; Poales; Poaceae.
CUGCUCUCACUCCGGCCACCUGCUUGCUGCCUCCAAGCUCCGGCCGCAUCGCCCCUGCAUCACCACUCCCUCCACGCUGGCGCUGCAGGCUGCACAUGUCAUCUUAGAGCAAAAAAAUUAAUCUCUAGCAGAGCUUCCAAAUAUACUGUUAUUUUAGUAGGCCUUUCAAAUUUCUCUUCCAUUCCAAUUUGGUGGCUCCCUAUUUGGACUGCCAACUGUGGCCCCACUAAUUUUUUUUCCAACUUCCAGCAGAGCGGUGCCCGAUCCCAGCGCCAGGGCCUAGCCGUCGCCGGCGGCCUCCCUAGCCGCCGCCGCCAGCCCGCCCGCCUCCGGUUCGCCUCCUCCCCGGAUCCGCCGCCGGAGCCGCCGGCGCCUGCUUCUUGCCGGCCGCGGGCGCGGGGAGGCGGCCGCGGUGCGCGUCCUCCAGGCCGACGCCGCAGCUCCGCGACGUCAUUUGGCGGCGGGUAGUCGUCAGGAUCCCCAAGUGGAAGGCAGAGAUCCAAGUAGGCGCCCUGGAGGAGGAAGGGAAUCGUCAACCUGAUGUGCUUCGCUGUAGAUGCAGGAUUGUCUAGUUUAAUUUUUAGCUCAUCAAGACUCUGGUCAUGUUCUAAGGCUGGGUUUAAUUUUUAUGUAAUGUGAGGAUAAUCAUAUGUUGCCAGUACCAUGCACCAAUUACCCAAGCUAAUGUAAUUUUGUGUGAAUCGUGUUCAGUUCUGUGAAUCAUGUUCAGUUCUGUGAA